GCUGAUAGCUCAGUCGGUAGAGCAUGAGACUCUUAAUCUCAGGGCCAUGGGUUUGAGUCCCAUGUUGGGCA
Molecule: transfer RNA, 71 nt
Filed under: Podarcis lilfordi (Lilford's wall lizard)
Lineage: Eukaryota; Metazoa; Chordata; Lepidosauria; Squamata; Lacertidae
Description: tRNA.Lys
Rfam family: tRNA (bases 6-63)
About the family: Transfer RNA (tRNA) molecules are approximately 80 nucleotides in length.
Source: RNAcentral